This 467-nucleotide ribosomal RNA is filed under the name uncultured bacterium. Its description in RNAcentral is "partial 16S ribosomal RNA". It matches the Rfam family "Bacterial small subunit ribosomal RNA", at positions 29 to 507 of the family's 1533-position model. The record is from RNAcentral.
ACGAACGCUGGCGGCGUGCUUAACACAUGCAAGUCGAACGGAAAGGCCCUGCUUUUGUGGGGUGCUCGAGUGGCGAACGGGUGAGUAACACGUGAGUAACCUGCCCUUGACUUUGGGAUAACUUCAGGAAACUGGGGCUAAUACCGGAAAGGAGCUCCUGCUGCAGGGGGGGGGUGGGAAAGUUUCGGCGGUUGGGGAUGGACUCGCGGCUUAUCAGCUUGUUGGUGGGGUAGUGGCUUACCAAGGCUUUGACGGGUAGCCGGCCUGAGAGGGUGACCGGCCACAUUGGGACUGAGAUACGGCCCAGACUCCUACGGGAGGCAGCAGUGGGGAAUAUUGCACAAUGGGCGGAAGCCUGAUGCAGCAACGCCGCGUGCGGGAUGACGGCCUUCGGGUUGUAAACCGCUUUCGCCUGUGACGAAGCGUGAGUGACGGUAAUGGGUAAAGAAGCACCGGCUAACUACGUG